This 474-nucleotide ribosomal RNA is filed under the name uncultured bacterium. RNAcentral describes it as "bacterial SSU rRNA". It matches the Rfam family "Bacterial small subunit ribosomal RNA", at positions 8 to 526 of the family's 1533-position model. The record is from RNAcentral.
AGAGUUUGAUCAUGGCUCAGAGCGAACGCUGGCGGCAUGCCUAACACAUGCAAGUCGAGCGCUCACCGCAAGGUGGGAGCGGCGGACGGGUGAGUAACGCGUAGGAACGUAUCCUGUGGUGGGGGAUAACCCUGGGAAACUAGGGCUAAUACCGCAUGAUGGCGCGAGCCUAAAGAUUUAUCGCCAUGGGAGCGGCCUGCGUCCGAUUAGCUUGUUGGUGAGGUGACGGCUCACCAAGGCUCUGAUCGGUAGCUGGUCUGAGAGGAUGAUCAGCCACACUGGGACUGAGACACGGCCCAGACUCCUACGGGAGGCAGCAGUGGGGAAUAUUGGACAAUGGGCGCAAGCCUGAUCCAGCAAUGCCGCGUGGAUGAAGAAGGUCUUCGGAUUGUAAAGUCCUUUCGGCGGGGACGAUGAUGACUGUACCCGCAGAAGAAGCCCCGGCUAACUUCGUGCCAGCCGCCGCGGUAAUUC